This 253-nucleotide ribosomal RNA is filed under the name uncultured bacterium. RNAcentral's name for it is "partial 16S ribosomal RNA". It matches the Rfam family "Bacterial small subunit ribosomal RNA", at positions 524 to 776 of the family's 1533-position model. The record is from RNAcentral.
GACGAACCGAGCGAACGUUGUUCGGAAUCACUGGGCUUAAGGGGCGCGUAGGCGGGUGCUCAAGUCCGGGGUGAAAUCCUCCAGCUCAACUGGAGAACUGCCUCGGAUACUGGGUGCCUCGAGGGUGGUAGGGGUAUGCGGAACUAUCGGUGGAGCGGUGAAAUGCGUUGAUAUCGAUAGGAACUCCGGUGGCGAAGGCGGCAUACUGGACCACAUCUGACGCUGAGGCGCGAAAGCCAGGGGAGCAAACGGG